Long non-coding RNA from Bubalus bubalis (water buffalo), 511 nucleotides. RefSeq lists it as uncharacterized. The record is from RefSeq and is a predicted model, not a curated record. NCBI's taxonomy places the organism in Eukaryota, Metazoa, Chordata, Mammalia, Artiodactyla, Bovidae. The transcript is spliced from 3 exons.
GGAAGUUGCAGUGGAUACUGACUGAGCCAAUCCACAGUACCUACCAUAAAGAUACGGCGAUGCGAGAAAGAGAGCCUGGCACAUCCUGCCAAGUGGGAACAUACUGAAUUAGUGAGAGAAAUGGAGGAAACUACAGUCUGAGAACAAGCAGGAAGCCUACCAGAGACAAGAUAGUGCUGAGCUUAUCUUGUACGAGUAGAAUAAACCUCUCAGAAUCUUGGGAGCAGAAUGAUUCUACAGUCCUCUGGAUAGGACUGGGAAAGAAGAAUCAGAAAGACUUAGCUCACGUCAGAAAUGAAAAGAGAAUUUGUAUCCUCAACUUCAUUUCAUCUAUGCAACCCUCCCUGGAGUGGAGCUUCUGCAACUGAUUUGCUGCACCUAAGUCCUGCUACCUACUAAGGGCCCAAAGGAAAAGGAGUAUGUCAAGGCUGUAUAUUGUCACCCUGAUUAUUUAACUUCUAUGCAGAGUACAUCAUGAGAAAUGCUGGGCUGGAAGAAGCACAAGCUGGAA